Long non-coding RNA from Ictalurus punctatus (channel catfish), 1288 nucleotides. RefSeq lists it as uncharacterized. NCBI's taxonomy places the organism in Eukaryota, Metazoa, Chordata, Actinopteri, Siluriformes, Ictaluridae. The record is from RefSeq and is a predicted model, not a curated record. The transcript has 4 exons.
CUGGCGUUCCCUUUGCUAUUGAGGUGUGUGGUGUUAUCAUGCAAAGAUCUAAAGAGGCUAUAUAAGGCAUCUUCUAUAAGGCCUUCAGAAAAAAGGUUGUGGAUGCCUAGGAGUCUGGUGGCGCAGGUUUCAAACGACUGCCGAUUUGUCCAGGACUGGUGUUCUAGCAAAUUCAGCCCAAGAGAAGACCGUCUGAUGCAAAAAGAAGUCUCCCUAAAUCCCCAAAAUUUCAUCACAGGAUCUGCUAGACUAAAAGAAAUGCCCAGGAGCUGCACUAUAUACAUAAUUGGAUGUGCCCCGCCUUGAGCCCGCUGCUUCCUUGGAUAGGCUCCAGGUUCUCCCGUGACCCUGAAAAGGAGUAAGAAUGGAUGGAUGGAUGGAUGGAUGGAUGGAUGGAGGGAUGGAUGGAUGGAUGGAUGGAUGGAUGGAUGGAUGGAUUUUCUCUUCUCUUCUCUUUUUUGUGACUAGAGGUGGAUGGGGACAGGUGUAAGAGAUUGAGAGUUGUGGAUGCACACAAAAAACUCACCAUUGUCUAGAAUGUAAUACUCACCAUUGUCUGUGAUGUAACACGAUGUCCCAAAUAUUACAUGUUACAUAAAACUUAUUCAAGUGUGAUGACAAACGAAAUAUGAUGUGGGAUUUAAAAAAAAACAACCUAAAAUGUUACAUAAUGAAAAUGACUCAAAGUGAAGCAAAUAUACAUGUAGAACAUCCUGAACCUGAAAGGAAAAACUGCAUGAUUGAAGCAGGAACACGCUGUACACACCUGUACUUAGUAACCUUUUGCUAGAGCUGUUCAUGCUGAAGUGAUGACUUGAUUAUCUUUUAUGACCGUAAGCUCUUUCAGCACAGUGUAUGCUGUAGCGUGGCUUUUUCCAGAAAUUUAUGGCAUUCGCACAUUUGAUACUUCAGAUGAUAUUAUGCAGAAGAGGAGAUUUAAUGUGACUACAGUGCAAACAACUUUUUGCCUCUUCUAAUCAGUCUGUUACUGAUAUCAGAGAAAGCACUAGUUAUUAUAUGUAAUACUGUAAUAAAAAUGUCACUUUCCUUUGAAGUGAUGAAGUACCAAAUACAGAUUGUUCCUGAAAGAACAAGAGGGGAUGUAGAUAAUCUAGUCGGACAAUCUAACUGGUGCACAAUUAAAGCUCAGAAACUGCUUUCUUCUUGUCUUCUCUUUCUAACAUUCAAGGUAAGAUCUUAUAGUAUAUUACACAUAUGGAGCUGUUGAAGGAUUUUUUUUUGUUUGUUUUCAAUAUGCUGAUAAAAAAUUAUAUUUCAGUCACUUACA